RNAcentral lists this transfer RNA (56 nucleotides) under Ophidascaris baylisi. Its description in RNAcentral is "tRNA-Asn". The record is from RNAcentral. Lineage: Eukaryota; Metazoa; Nematoda; Chromadorea; Rhabditida; Anisakidae.
UAAGGGUUAGUUUUUCUAAGAACAGUUGACUGUUAAUCAUCAGGUUUUACUCUUAG